Molecule: ribosomal RNA, 250 nt
Filed under: uncultured Peptostreptococcaceae bacterium
Lineage: Bacteria; Bacillati; Bacillota; Clostridia; Peptostreptococcales; Peptostreptococcaceae
Description: partial 16S ribosomal RNA
Rfam family: Bacterial small subunit ribosomal RNA
Source: RNAcentral
UACGUAGGGGGCUAGCGUUAUCCGGAAUUACUGGGCGUAAAGGGUGCGUAGGUGGUUUUUUAAGUCAGAAGUGAAAGGCUACGGCUCAACCGUAGUAAGCUUUUGAAACUAGAGAAUUUGAGUGUAGGAGAGGAGAGUAGAAUUCCUAGUGUAGCGGUGAAAUGCGUAGAUAUUAGGAGGAAUACCAGUAGCGAAGGCGGCUCUCUGGACUGUAACUGACACUGAGGCACGAAAGCGUGGGGAGCAAACA